UACGAAGGGGGCUAGCGUUGUUCGGAAUUACUGGGCGUAAAGGGCGCGUAGGCGGCCGGCUAAGUUAGGCGUGAAAGCCCAGGGCUCAACUCUGGAAUUGCGCUUGAUACUGGUUGGCUUGAGUACGGGAGAGGAUAGUGGAAUUCCCAGUGUAGAGGUGAAAUUCGUAGAUAUUGGGAAGAACACCGGUGGCGAAGGCGGCUAUCUGGACCGUAACUGACGCUGAGGCGCGAAAGCGUGGGGAGCAAACAGG
This 253-nucleotide ribosomal RNA is filed under the name uncultured bacterium. RNAcentral's name for it is "partial 16S ribosomal RNA". It matches the Rfam family "Bacterial small subunit ribosomal RNA", at positions 524 to 776 of the family's 1533-position model. The record is from RNAcentral.